This 124-nucleotide small nucleolar RNA is filed under the name Carlito syrichta (Philippine tarsier). RNAcentral's name for it is "Small nucleolar RNA SNORA11 (ENSTSYG00000021897.2)". It matches the Rfam family "Small nucleolar RNA SNORA11". From Rfam's summary of the family: U107 (SNORA11) is a member of the H/ACA class of snoRNAs that guide the sites of modification of uridines to pseudouridines. This snoRNA was identified by RT-PCR from blood cells and its expression confirmed by Northern blot analysis. The record is from Rfam by way of RNAcentral. Lineage: Eukaryota; Metazoa; Chordata; Mammalia; Primates; Tarsiidae.
UAGCUGUGUCACAGAGUAGAGGGCCUGAAGAAUUGCUCCUCUGUUUAUAACACACCCAACAGGAAUCUGUUGUUACAAAGGGCAUGAAACUUGUGGCCUCUCUAUGAACAAAUGCCCUACAGAU